CCCGACCACUCUGGCCACCGUUGCAGGGGCUGUCGUCGCAGGGGCCGCCGCGGCCAUUCCUCGCACUUGUCAUCGCUGCAACGACGGAGGGGCCGCGCAGGAGAUCACCGUGAUACAGCUGCAACUCCGGCCUGCGACAAGAUCGAUCAGUUCUCUAAGCAAACAUCAAUCAGGUCACAAUCUCCUUGAAACUGAACUAGCAAGCUUAUAAAAGUGUAAAACAAUAUGUAGAAGUUUCAGGUCGCUGAAUUGCGGCUAACACAUGUGUUGUAAACAUCGGUAGCUGACAUGUAACUGUAAACAAUCUGUACAAGUUAGUUCAGUUUUGGAUAUCCGAAAGUUACAUGUUUAGGUCACAAUGUCAUGGCACUAACAAAAGACACACUAAAAUAUCAAAGUCACUACCAUGAACAUGGACAUGUACAGUGUAUAGCACCAGGCAAUGAUUUGGUUUAUAUCACAAAUUAACAUUACCUACAUAGAAUUUCAAAUCUAUUCUACACAGCACUAGAUGAAUCUGUGUUAAAUUCAGUUGAUUUUAACCUGUGUUGCUUGUAAAGCAUAGAAAGGCACCAUUACAGUGCCCUGAAUUAGCAGAAGUCACAUACUCAUGUGAAGCAUAUCAGUAGUUUGCACUCUUAAAAAAUAAUGGAGAGAAAAUCAUGCAGUAGUUAAUCAAUUGGCUGAGAUUACAGGUCACUGAAGAAGAAGAAGCAGUUCUGCCGAAAACAGUAAGAGCAAACUCCACGGUGACUCAGAUUUAGAUCAUUGUACAUCUCAGAGCAUUUUAUCAAACAUGUUAAUAGUACAGGUUACUGCAAAAUCUCCACAGUAUGUUUUCCAUGCUGUAUUUUUUCAUAACAAUUUGUGUAGAGCAAAUAGUUGUUGGGAUGUAAAAUGAAAUUGACUUGCUUAGUUUUUACUGGCCUGCAGAUAUCAGCUGCCUCCUCAACAAACUCCACUAUGAUGUUCCCAGACCUCAACAGCACCCCACUUGACCUCAACAACACUCCACUUGAGGAAGUUGAUGUCUACAUGCCUGAUGUACGUCAAGUAGAGGAGGAGAUGUUGGAUCAACAGGAAGGAAUUACGUAUGACGUUCUUCUGAUUGCUUUAGCCGAUUGUCUGGAACAUGCUCUAUUGGUAAUAUCCCCCUUCCUUGUCCUGAUUGACAUCUAGUUGGUCUGUGAAGGAUUAGGAAUUGGAUUCGUGGUACUUAAAUAUGAGACUCACGACUUGACUUUAUAUACUCUGGGAUCAUUAAUGGUUUAUUUGACGGGAUUGUUCAAUUUUUGUGCGAGAAGCAUCAAAUCAGAAAUAAGUAUCAUCGAAGUUACAAAGUUAUGUGAUGGUUUGUGCUUUGAACUGUCAUCUAAAUCAUGGUUCCAUUAUGUGAUCAUUGCUAAGAAACGCCACACAACUGCGCAUUUGCGGUCGGUGUUCUUCGAGUCCCUCGACCUAGAUCAUGCCUUCGAGUCCAUCGGCGCCAACAUUGUCGAGUGGUGGACGCCCAUGUUCAACUGCCACGUUGACGCUAUGCACCGCUCCACCGCCUUACUCGCCGCAGGGGAGCUCUGCGAGGUCCAGAUGAAUAUGGAGUCGCUUCGCUCCGGUCCUGCCCACAACAUCUUACUCCUGGACAACUUCGUCCAUGGCCAGUCCGGUGCGGGCAACAACUGGGUCAAGGGACACUAUGCCGAGUACGGCAAGCUCAUUGACUCUGUCCUCGACAUGGUAUUAUGAAAGCACAAGGAGACCAAGAACUCGGACUGCCUCCAAGGGAGGGUCCAUCGUCAGCGUUGGCCGUGCGGCGGCAGAAAGUACAAGGCAAGGUCGCUUGAAGAGAGUGGAGGAAGAGAAUGUGGAUGCGGAAUACUCUCUAGAAAAUGGCUGACACCUGAUAGUGAGGGGACAUCCAACCUCUUGUAUGUGACAAUGGCACUGGAAUGGUCAAGGUUAGAAAUCUUUCUCGGAGCUGUUUCAUAAUUGUUUCCUGCAUUUGUUAAGAUAUUAUGUAGGCUGGUUUCACUGCUGAAAACCUCAGGCAAGUUACAAUGAGAGGCUGCUCACCGCAGAAAAGAAAAAACAGCGAGGAAGCAGAAAAUGGGUCAUUGUUGUUGAUUUGGUUGGGUUACAGCUUAUGGCAUCAGAUUUUUUCGACCAUGGACCAUACUGGUUACUCAUUGUUUGCUUUCAUGCCGCUUAUCCUGCAUAUGGAUCUUUUGACUACAUCCAUCAAAUGUCUCAAUCCGCUCAUCAAGUGGCAGCUUAUGGUGCCUAUCAUUCUACAUACACACCCUAGGUAGAUGUGAAGUUUUGGAGGACUAGAUCUAGAAAUGAAGACAAUCAUUGUUCCACGGUGCCUAUGGGUGCCGCUUUUCGAGGAUGCACACAUCGUUGAAAAAUUGCAGUUUCACAAGAAAAAUAUUUCUACCCGUUGUACUGUGCACCACCGUAGCUACAUGCAGAUCCGCCGCGGAUUGUUCCCAUUUGUUGUUCUAAAAAAGUAUUUCCAUUUGUUAAUAUUUGUAGGGUUUUUACCUGUUAAUAUUUGAAAAGGAGUGUAGGGCGAAAACAUGCAUCUAGAGUAAGAUGUGAUUGGCCAUUUGCCACGAUGAUUAUAAAUCCAGCUCGACAUGUACGUGGGGUUU
Molecule: long non-coding RNA, 2651 nt
Organism: Lolium rigidum
Lineage: Eukaryota; Viridiplantae; Streptophyta; Magnoliopsida; Poales; Poaceae
Exons: 6
Source: RefSeq, a predicted model, not a curated record